AACGAACGCUGGCGGCGGGGUUUAGGUCAUGCAAGUCGAGCGAGAAAGGGGCGAACCCGAGUAAAGACGGCGUAAGGGUGAGUAAUAGGUAGUUCACGUAUCCUCCAGACGCGGAUAAUUUCCCGAAAGGGAUUGUAAUACGCGAUGAGACCACGGCUGAUCAGUCAGCAGGGGUCGAACGGUUCGGGAUCCUUCGGGACCGAGCGCUGGUGGAGCGGACGACCUCCGAUUAGCUAGUUGGG
This 242-nucleotide ribosomal RNA is filed under the name uncultured bacterium. RNAcentral describes it as "partial 16S ribosomal RNA". It matches the Rfam family "Bacterial small subunit ribosomal RNA", at positions 29 to 253 of the family's 1533-position model. The record is from RNAcentral.